This 1177-nucleotide long non-coding RNA is filed under the name Marmota monax (woodchuck). Lineage: Eukaryota; Metazoa; Chordata; Mammalia; Rodentia; Sciuridae. The record is from RNAcentral.
GAGGGGGAUGGGAAAGACAGUAGAAUGAACAGGACAUCGCUUUCCUCUGUUCAUAUGUGAACACACAACCAGUGGAACUCCACAUCAUGGACAACCACAAGAAUGGGAUCCUAGUUAGAAUAAGUUGUACUGCACGUAUGUAUAAUAUGUCAAAAAACUCUACGGUCAUGUAUACCUAAGAAGAAAAAUUUAAAAAACCAUGAACAAUGGCCACACCUCUCCCCCCUUUCUAAUGAGAAAAACACACAGGCAGCGUGGAGAAGAGCUGGAGAACUAGCCCAUGGCCCUGGACCCAUCCCCAGCUCCCCCUGGGCCUCCGUUCCCCUGCUGGCAUUGAGCAGGGGAAGGUGAGGCAAAGAACCUCACCCCCCGCUGGUACAAAGACCUAUCCACAGGUGUGGCUGUAUGCUGGACCUGUAGUCAAUGACGGGUAAGAUCCAAUUGCAGUGGUACCAACCUAAGACAGGAGGCUGACGCCUUGAGGUCAGCUCAUCCGAUGACGGGUAAGAACCAUAUGUAGUAUUGGACAACCUAAGGCAGGCAUGGUCCCUAAGCCACAUGCUUGUUGUUUAAACAGAGAGGGGGAGAUGUUGAGAGCCACACCCAAAGGGGCCCCAGCAAACUUCCAGCUGCCAGCUGAUUGGCUCACAGAAGCCCCAGCAAACUUCUAGCUGCCAACUGAUUGGCUUCUCUGUGGUGAUGCUCAUUGGGCUGUUUCCCCGCCCGUUCAGACCAUGGAGCUGCUCAUUGGGGGACUUUUUUGGCUCCGCCCACACGACCCAGCCAAUCGGCCUCAAGAGCAGGAGGGGUAGGGGAAGUUGAGAGGCUUGUGGGAAGCCGGUUGUGGCAGUUGGGCUCUGAGGGUUUUCCUGAAGAGCUGUGUGGUGCGGUGUGUGUGUUCUAAAAAUAAAGUUUGUUUCCUUUGACAAGUGGCUCCUGAAUUGUGCCCAGCCAGACUGCGGCACCAAGCAUCCCUGAGCUGCGCUCACCUGCGUUUGGAUGACCCUCAAUACAAAGGCCCCAGUUGGCUUCCCUCCAAGCCCCACUUCUGCCUUCUGGAGUUCUGAUCCUCCAUGUCUGCUCAAGGUGGGGGGACCUCUGCCCACCCCCUUGGGUUAUAUGGUCGGCUGAUACAUGGCCCUGGAGAGAUGCCCACAUCCUGCUCCCCAGAACCUGA